This 490-nucleotide ribosomal RNA is filed under the name uncultured bacterium. RNAcentral's name for it is "partial 16S ribosomal RNA". It matches the Rfam family "Bacterial small subunit ribosomal RNA", at positions 30 to 507 of the family's 1533-position model. The record is from RNAcentral.
AUUGAACGCUGGCGGCAGGCCUAACACAUGCAAGUCGAACGGUAACAGGAAGAAGCUUGCUUCUUUGCUGACGAGUGGCGGACGGGUGAGUAAUGUCUGGGAAACUGCCUGAUGGAGGGGGAUAACUACUGGAAACGGUAGCUAAUACCGCAUAAUGUCGCAAGACCAAAGAGGGGGACCUUCGGGCCUCUUGCCAUCGGAUGUGCCCAGAUGGGAUUAGCUAGUAGGUGGGGUAACGGCUCACCUCGGCGACGAUCCCUAGCUGGUCUGAGAGGAUGACCAGCCACACUGGAACUGAGACACGGUCCAGACUCCUACGGGAGGCAGCAGUGGGGAAUAUUGCACAAUGGGCGCAAGCCUGAUGCAGCUAUGCCGCGUGUAUGAAGAAGGCCUUCGGGUUGUAAAGUACUUUCAGCGGGGAGGAAGGGAGUAAAGUUAAUACCUUUGCUCAUUGACGUUACCCGCAGAAGAAGCACCGGCUAACUCCGUG